This 1829-nucleotide long non-coding RNA is filed under the name Nicotiana benthamiana. RNAcentral describes it as "long non-coding RNA (NBEN_LNC022403)". The record is from RNAcentral. Lineage: Eukaryota; Viridiplantae; Streptophyta; Magnoliopsida; Solanales; Solanaceae.
CGGUGAGAAUCAAACCAGCGUAGUUCGGGUAAAUAAACUAACUGAUUUUGUAAACAAACAUAUUUUUUUACUUUUUCAUUUUUUGAAAACAAAGAAAACUAAAAUAAAAGACUACAUAUUUUCUGCUUUCUUGGGUAAAACAAACAAACAAAAAAAAUUAAAAAAUAAUCAUCUAACUCUCCAACUGCUAAUUUUUCUUUUUCUCAAUUUUUUCUAAUUUUUUCUAACAUUCCCGAGAUUCAGAAGCCGUUCAACAUGCGGGUCCGAAACAUAUAAAUGCACAGAACACAAGUAGGAUGCAUCAAGAUGGUCUUUUUUGUUUCAGGUUGCUAUUCCUAGACGGACCCAACCCCUGUGUUGAGUCCCCUAAGUCAAAGAAUGCAUAUGAUGCAGAUAAGCGUUCCUAUUAGGGAUCCGGCAUGAAGUUGAGUUAUUCGAGUUUCAGAACCUAUGUGUUUGUUUUAGACGUGACUUCCCCGAGCGAACAGCUCGAGCCGAGGGGGGGGGCAGCGUACCGGGAUACAGAAGCUCAACCCGACUUUUCAACUUGUCCGAACCUCGUUCUAAAAUGGGAUUGACUCUAAACAGAAAAGAAGUCGCACGAAGUGCACCCUUCUUCAUGAUUUAGAAGACUCAGAGAGGAGAUGAGUUUCAGCACAGUUUAUAUGUACAGUCAAAUAAUAUCAAAGCAGUACCAAACAUCAUUUUGCACAUUAAGCAUAGAUCAUAUGAAAAUAUCAGAUAUAUGUACAGUCAAAUAAUAGAAGGCAAAGAAAUGAAGGAAGAUCAGUACAGCAGUAGCAGCAACUCAAACAACACCCAACUAGAAAACAGCAAUACCAAAAAUCAACUAAUACUAGGAAACCCAAGAAUAUCACACUGAAAGUCCAGUAACACUCAAGAAUACACUUAACAAUCACAGUAGAGGUGAACAGAAGUGAGACAAGUAGUAUUUUCUGGUUUUGGAUACUCUAGAAUUUAGUUCUAUAUUUUCAGCUUUUCUCUAUUUUUGAACUUCUAAUGUUAAAAUUCAUUUCUAUUUCCAUUCUUGUGGUGAUCCGAGUUAGUUCUAUAUUUUCAGCUUUUCUCUAUUUUUGAACUUCUAAUGUUAAAUUUCCUUUCUACACUCUCAAUUUCUAACCUCAAAAUUCAGUCUACUCUCCAAAAAAAUUUUGUAUUUAUAGUAACCACUAAACCUAACCUCCUUUGAAAAACUUCACUUAUUCCACCAACCAUCCCAAGAAAAUCUGCUUAUUUUCAACUAAAUCCCACUAAGGAAUGAUUUUCCUUAUUUUCUUCCCUAAAUUAAGGCAUGAUAUAAGGGCUUAUUUUCCACUAGCAUUAAAUUAAUGAUAAGUUCUUGUCUUAUUAUUGCUUGACUAGCAGACCCUUAAUUUAGUCAAAUCUGACCAUUUUUCCUUCCCAAAAUACCCCUGAAUGACAGCCCAUUUAAAAUGUCCAAAUUACCCUUUAAACCCCCUGGUAAUUACAGUGAUUAACCUAAGGUUGAAGGUCUGAAAUCACUACUCUAUAAUAUGGCAUUCGAUCUCUGAUUUCAGGCUUUAAGCUUAUGAUUUCUACAGCUAAUACUAAUCCUAAGUUCAAAAAGGCAGAAGGGGGCAAAUUCAAGGGGAGUGAGCUGGUCAGUUUGGUAAACCAAAACUGACCAACUCCAAAUCAAUCAUACAGGGCAUUUGAUAUUACAAAAUGAUGAGUUUAAGGCUACUGAAUCAGAGGCACAUUGACACAAGAGAAAGCACACUAGCAAUUAUGAAUUUGGAUGAACAAUCAUGCAUUUUCUACUUGUUUCAGUGAAUUCAUUUGACGAC